RNAcentral lists this long non-coding RNA (737 nucleotides) under Piliocolobus tephrosceles (Ugandan red Colobus). Its description in RNAcentral is "lncRNA (ENSPTEG00000005102.1)". Lineage: Eukaryota; Metazoa; Chordata; Mammalia; Primates; Cercopithecidae. The record is from RNAcentral.
AUGGUUACUUGUUGUGCACCAUUGAACUCUUCCCUUACAUGUAGGCUGGACUUCCCCAACUGGUCCACGCACACUCGGAGGGUUGGGAUUCUGUCUCAACCUUGUUCCUGCAUCAGCCCUGAGGCCAGUCAGUCAGGACAAGCUCAGAAACAAUGCAGGCCUGAAUCCCGGACCUGGGGAAAAUCCUGCUAUUACAGAGCUCACCUUCUGGUUCAAAACAAAGCUUGGGUUCAUUGUGCACAUUCCUUCUACUCUGUUUCUGAAUCACCCUGGGACCCUCACAACAGCCUUUGGGAUGUGUGCCUUUAAUUCUGUCUCAUAGAAGAGAAAACUGAGGUGCCGGAAGCAACUUGCCAAAGAGUGGCUAGAAACAGACUACCCAAUACAACUGGUGGUGUCCCUUCAGACCCAGGGACGCAUGGCAGAACCAGAACCGACCAGUAGGUGGCGCCGUUGUAACACAACAAGCAUUGACCUGGAUUGGCGACUAUUCUGAACCCGCUCGCAGUGGAACUGCCACUGGCUCUCUCCGGUGUCAUGGGGUUCCCACAGGCCUAGCAGCUCGGAGCCCCAGGUCAGCAGCCAGUGAACAGCUGAGGAUGAUGAUGAUAAAAUACAGGAAAAAACACCGGCACUUGCACCCUGGCAGUUACAGCUCUGUGAUGGAAGAUGUAACAGCUAAGGCAAAUUAAAUAUAUUUUCAUUUAAAAUUCAUAAUAAACUAUUCUGAACAUACA